Molecule: long non-coding RNA, 472 nt
Organism: Hydractinia symbiolongicarpus
Lineage: Eukaryota; Metazoa; Cnidaria; Hydrozoa; Anthoathecata; Hydractiniidae
Exons: 3
Source: RefSeq, a predicted model, not a curated record
CCCUAGAUUAUUCUGCCCCCCCCGUAGUUGUGACUAAUUACUUUUAGUAGCAGCUAUUUGUCCGGCAAGGCAGUUCGGCAAGGAAGCGAAGGAAGGAAACGAAAAUGUUGACUGGCAGUUAAUGGAAAAGUUUUGGUUGUGGUCAGCUAGCUGCACAAGCUGAUCUAGCUACCCUUGUUGUCUGUUUUUUAUCAGAGAUGUCUAAAUAUUGCCAUGACCAGAAAUUACUUUGCAGAAAAGCUAUCAUCGUCACGAACUACCAAAGAAAACAACAGAAAAGAGGAAAACAGACAAAUUCGUUAAAAAGACAACAGAAUUUGAAGAAAAGCAAAGAAUUCAAAUUUUUGGAGAAUUGGCCGACCCUCCAAAAACACCGCUUCUGAAAUUAAAACUGGGUAAUGUUUUUAUGGUUACGAAUAUGAAAAUAACAAUGUACAUAUACAAGGAAAAGAAAUUUCCAAUUAUAAUUUAA